RNAcentral lists this ribosomal RNA (447 nucleotides) under uncultured bacterium. RNAcentral describes it as "partial 16S ribosomal RNA". It matches the Rfam family "Bacterial small subunit ribosomal RNA", at positions 329 to 792 of the family's 1533-position model. The record is from RNAcentral.
GGCCAGACUCCUACGGGAGGCAGCAGUGGGGGAUAUUGCACAAUGGGGGGAACCCUGAUGCAGCGACGCCGCGUGGGUGAAGGAGCGUUUCGGCGCGUAGAGCUCUAUCGGCAGGGAAGAAGGAGGACGGUACCUGACUAAGAAGCCCCGGCUAACUACGUGCCAGCAGCCGCGGGAAUACGUAGGGGGCAAGCGUUAUCCGGAUUUACUGGGUGUAAAGGGGGCGCAGACGGCAGCGCAAGCCAGGAGUGAAAGCCCGGGGCCCAACCCCGGGCAUGCAUUGGAAACUGGCGGGCUGGAGUGCCGGAGAGGUAAGCGGAAUUCCUAGUGUAGCGGUGAAAUGCGUAGAUAUUAGGAGGAACACCAGUGGCGAAGGCGGCUUACUGGACGGCAACUGACGCUGAGGCUCGAAAGCGUGGGGAGCAAACAGGAUUAGAUACCCGAGUA